ACUCCCUGGCAAUGAACAAAGAGACACCAUGUUGGUGGUAGAGUUCUUACAUCAGUCAGGGACAGAACCGAUAGCAAUCCUCUGUUCAUCCUAGCUUGAUCCUGGUUUGGUGGCCAAAGCUGUCUUAUGCCUAGGACUCAUCA
Small nucleolar RNA from Grammomys surdaster, 143 nucleotides. RefSeq annotates it as small nucleolar RNA SNORA48. The record is from RefSeq and is a predicted model, not a curated record. The transcript has a single exon. NCBI's taxonomy places the organism in Eukaryota, Metazoa, Chordata, Mammalia, Rodentia, Muridae.